RNAcentral lists this transfer RNA (72 nucleotides) under Candidatus Woesearchaeota archaeon CG_4_10_14_0_2_um_filter_33_13. RNAcentral describes it as "tRNA-His". It matches the Rfam family "tRNA". From Rfam's summary of the family: Transfer RNA (tRNA) molecules are approximately 80 nucleotides in length. Their secondary structure includes four short double-helical elements and three loops (D, anti-codon, and T loops). Further hydrogen bonds mediate the characteristic L-shaped molecular structure. tRNAs have two regions of fundamental functional importance: the anti-codon, which is responsible for specific mRNA codon recognition, and the 3' end, to which the tRNAs corresponding amino acid is attached (by aminoacyl-tRNA synthetases). tRNAs cope with the degeneracy of the genetic code in two manners: having more than one tRNA (with a specific anti-codon) for a particular amino acid; and 'wobble' base-pairing, i.e. permitting non-standard base-pairing at the 3rd anti-codon position. Lineage: Archaea; Nanobdellati; Candidatus Woesearchaeota. The record is from RNAcentral.
GCGGCUGUUGUGUAACGGUUAGCAUACAGGUCUGUGGAACCUGUGACGGGAGUUCAACUCUCCCCAGCCGCC